UCUGAGGCAAACAGUACCACGCCCCCUCAAACGCUUCUUUUCAUUUGUCCUCCGUUUCUUAAAGGAAUAGUUCAUCCGACUGUCAUACCCUCGAAAAACAAGAGACUUUUCUUUUCUUUCAUGAAAAGCAAAAGAGAAAUUCUGUAGAAUUGUGCUCCCUGCAAUUAAAGACACACACAAGAAAAAAUGAAAAACCCAGUCAUUAUCCCCUCCUGCAUGAAAGAGGCCCUGUGCUUUCUACCAGAAACAACAGAUAUUGCAGAAAAAGUUUCAGCAUUCUUGAGCAGUAGCGCAAGAGCGAACACACCUUAUUUCUUGCUCAGAGCUGAAAGAAAGCUGCAAGUGACUCACAAAGGUCAUGGAUGACGUUGAGAGAUGUGACGGCCUCACGGAUGUCACUGUUCACGGCUGCAGGAGCAAUUAGCCUUUAGGUUAACGCACCCGUGUGAUGGUUUGAGCUUUAGAGAUAUCUCAGAUGUUCAGGUGACCUUCUGUCAGCACAGCAGAUAAGAAGAACCCUCAGAAAGACUGUGGAAAAACUAGUCUAAAGCACUAUUUCUUUCUGAGAGGAAAUGAGAUGCUGCCAUUUUCUUUCUUUGGCAUUGAUUGUUUGACAGUUGCAACAUGCUUUAAUUCCAGCAUAAUGAGCACCACAUUCUCAAGACGGCCUGUCAAUUAAACAAUUCGGUGUCAAAAUAAUCAGCUUAAUUCUUAAAACAGCAACAUUUUAGUGCAUUUCAGCUCAUCCUGCAGUGAUCCUCCUACAAUGUCUUAGUAACGACCCUAGCAACUGCAUAGCAACAUGCUAAAAACUUUUAGCAGACCAUAGCAACUGCAUAGCAAUGUGGCAGCAACUUAUAUACAAUGUAAAUAUGUAAAUAAAAACAUAAAAUAAAGAUUUAAUUUUAGUUUUAAAAGUUUUAAAUUCACCAUGAAAUUUUUUAUUAAUGUGUCCUCAUAAUCUUUAAUCAAAAUAACUUCCGCUCCCUCUUGCAGCGACUUCUCUUCUUUUCUUUUCUCUUCUCUUCUCUUCUCUUCUCUUCUCUUCUCUUCUCUGAUGACGUGUUUACUGGCACGAGGGCAGGAAAACCUGUCAAUCACAUGACAUCACAGCAAUAGCAAACCACAACCAUCCAAUCAAUUCCUAAUGGACAAAAUCAAGUCCCACCCUGCAGUUUUAUCUCAUUCGAGAAGCUGUUUCACUCAGAUAUUUGUCACAAAAGGGAAGAAAAUGCUAUCUGAAAGGUGAAAGAUCUGGACUGCAGGCAGGCCAAUUCGGCACCCGGACUCUUCUACGAUGAAGCCAUGCUGUUGUAAUAGCUGCAGUAUGUGGUUUUGCAUUGUCCUGCUGAAAUGCACAAGGCCUUCCCUGAAAUAGACGUCGUCUAGAGGGGAGCAUAUGUUGCUCUAAAAGCUUUAUAUACCUUUCAGCAUUCAUAAUGCCUUCCAAAACAUGCAAGCUGCCCAUAUGCACUUAUGCACCCCCAUACCAUCAGAGAUGCUGGCUUUUGAACUGAAUGCUGAUAACUUGCUGGAAGGUCUCCCUCCUCUUUAGCCCGGAGGACACGGCGUCUGUGAUUUCCAACAAGAAUGUCAAAUUUGGACUCGUCUGACCAUAGAACACUUUUCCACUUUGAAACAAUCCAUUUUAAAUGAGCCUUGGCCCACAGGACACAACGGCGCUUCUGGCCCAUGUUCACAUAUGGCUUCCUUUUUGCAUGAUAGAGCUUUAGUUGGGAUCUGCAGAUGGCACGGUGGAUUGUGUUUACCAACAGUGGUUUCUGGAAGUAUUCCUGGGCCCAUUUAGUAAUGUCAUUGACACAAUCAUGCCGAUGAGUGAUGCAGUGUCGUCUGAGGGCCUGAAGACCACGGGCAUCCAAUAAAGGUCUUCAGCCUUGUGCCUUACGCACAGAGAUUUCUCCAGUUUCUCUGAAUCUUUUGAUGAUGUCAUGCACUGUAGAUGAUGAGAUUUGCAAUUUGAUGUUGAGGAACAUUGUUUUUAAAGUAUUCCACAAUCUUUUUACGCACUCUUUCACAGAUUGGAAAGCCUCUGCCCAUCUUUACUUCUGAGAGACUCUGCCUCUCUAAGACAUCCCUUUUAUAGCUAAUCAUGUUACAGACCUGAUAUCAAUUAACUUAAUUAGUUGCUAGAUGUUCUCCCAGCUGAAUCUUUUCAAAAUUUCUUGCUUUUUCAGCCAUUUGUUGCCCCUGUGCCAACUAUUUUGAGACCUGUAGCAGGCAUCAAAUUUGAAAUGAGCUCAUUUAGUGGAUAAAAGUGUAAAAUUUCUCAGUUUAAACAUUUGUUAUGUUAUCUAUGUUCUAUUGUGAAUAAAAUAUUGGCUCAUGUGAUUUGAAAGUCUUUUAGUUUUAAUUUUUUUUCAAAUUUAAAAAACAUCCCAACAUUUCCGGAAUUCGGGUUGUAAAAUAUAUUAAUAAAAUUGUGUAAAUAGAAAAGGUCAAGCCAAAAUUACUUUGGCGCGUAAGCUCAAAUAAAGUUUAAUG
This is a long non-coding RNA of Ctenopharyngodon idella (grass carp), 2502 nucleotides long. RefSeq lists it as uncharacterized. The record is from RefSeq and is a predicted model, not a curated record. The transcript is spliced from 4 exons. NCBI's taxonomy places the organism in Eukaryota, Metazoa, Chordata, Actinopteri, Cypriniformes, Xenocyprididae.